CAUCUCUUUUGCAUUUUUUUUCCUUUGUGAGGUAAAGCAGCAUUUUCCUGGCUACUCUGACUUUGCUCAUGAGAAAUAGUCUCAUUACUAUGAAUGAAAUGUGUGGGGAUCUGAUCUCUUCUAACAGCUCAGGAGUCUUUUUUUCUGAGAUAGGGUUUCUCUCUGUUGCCUAGGCUGGAGUACAGUGGUGUGAUCAUGGCUAACUGUAGCCUCGAACUCCUGGGCUCAAGUCAUCCUCCUGCCUCAGCCUCCCGAUAGCUGGGAUUAAAGGUGCCUGCCACCACACUCAGCUAAUUUUUGUAUUUUUAGUAGACAUGGGGUUUCACCACAUUGGCCACGCUGGUCUCGAACUCCUGACCUCAAGUGAUCUGCCUGCCUCGGCCUCCCAAAGUGCUGGGAUUACAGGUGUGAGCCACUGCGCCUGGCCUAGCAUCGUAUUUUUGAGGUUAGCCUUGCCUAUUUAAAAAUGUUUUGAUAUCUUUUUAAAUCUAUGGGUUCCCCCUCCACCCCUUUCUUUCAAGUUAUCUGUUGAAGAAGUUGGG
This is a long non-coding RNA of Homo sapiens (human), 542 nucleotides long. Ensembl annotates it as IGBP1 antisense RNA 1. Its record names the gene IGBP1-AS1. NCBI's taxonomy places the organism in Eukaryota, Metazoa, Chordata, Mammalia, Primates, Hominidae. The record is from Ensembl.